Molecule: long non-coding RNA, 2485 nt
Organism: Equus quagga
Lineage: Eukaryota; Metazoa; Chordata; Mammalia; Perissodactyla; Equidae
Exons: 6
Source: RefSeq, a predicted model, not a curated record
UCUGCCCAAAUGUUCUUCUCCUCUCGUUUGCCUACCUAAUGCCCCAGACUCUUCCAGAUGCAAGUCAACUGCUACCCUUCUGGAACGCCCCUCCAGUUCUCCAGGGGAUCAGUGGCUACGCAGAGCUCUCCUCACAUUGGAUUCUACUGUUUGUCUGUGGAUCUUCCCCCCAUUAGACAAUGGACUUCUCUAGGGCAAGGACUGGGUGCCAUCUCUGUCCUAGGGCCAUCUCUCCAGCCCCUAGAGCGCUGCCCAGCCCACAGCAGCUGCUCCAACAAUACGUAAGUGACCCUAAGGGGCACUAUGAUCCUCAGCGAAUGGGGGGGAGGGGGAACCCAUUCUUUCUGUUUUCUUCUCAUUUUCACUCCUGAAGUUUCCAGAGCACUUGAAAAUUGACCACUAACAGAUUGCUUCCACGCCAUGUCAGAAUUUUCCCUAAAUUUCUCAACUGUUUAUCCACUUUCUAGUGUUAUAUAACCGAAGGCUGAUGUAGUGGUAAAGGAAUCUCGUUAUAUAAUUCAGUCCUACCCACUGCAGCUCACUUGGGAGGGCAGCAGAGGACGGUGGCGGGGACCGAGAAAGGCUCUCUGCACUGCUGGGUUGGGUGGGCCCUUCCCUGCCCCCUCCCACUUCCCUGAAGCGUCUUCAGGAUUCUACUGCUUGGUGGCUGCCCAGGUCCCCAGCAGAUGUUAAGCAAAGCCUGAGGGACACCAGGGAACGUGGCGCUGUCUUUGGCAUCCUCGUCAAGCCCACGAGCAGAUAUUAAAGAUCUUGUUCAUUCAGCUCUGCUGGAGUGAAGACUGUUGCCAGACAGUUCAUUUUUAUUGUUUUUUCUAGAACAGCAGGGCUGUUAUUACAAGUGUUCUUGAGAGAACGGUGAAGCCAAAAAGAGAUUCCACAGCGUCUUAAAAAUAGCCAGUAGUAUGCGAACUGCUCGACUAGGGAGGCAAAGAUCCUGAUGUGUCUGACACACGGGGCAUUUGUGAACCACUGUUUGGCUACCGGUCCCACCACUUCGCACCCUCCUCCAACACUGUCGCCAGGGCAGGGCCAAGGGGAGGUACUUGAGAGAAAAGCCGCACCCCUGGCCAGCUCCCACCUAGGCUGGAAGGAGCCGGGGUGCUGUACUUGGAGCGCGGACACACAGUUCCAAAAGGAAAGGGCGGGCCGGCUCUGGCCAGAGGAAAGUCCCAGAGAUGCAUUUGUGCCAAGGGAUGUCUGUCACCCCGCCCUUUAAGGCUGCUCCCAGCACUGUCACCCCAAAACUGGAGGCAGUUAGACCAGCACCCGGAGGAGGCAGAGAGGAAGAAAAUCAGAGGCGGUGUUAGUGAAAGAGAGGCCGCGUGAUGGGGAUUCGGAGACAGCGAGACGGGACAGAACCCAGACGGGACAGGAGGGCAGGGGCUGAUCGUCCGAGAGCGGACAACCCUCCAGCCUUUCCGCGGAGGAGCGCUGUGGCGGGCAGCCGUGGGCCCUCGGGUUCUGCGGAGAUGUGGCGCCUGAAUGCUGAGCCUCGUCAAAAGCCCUCAUCAAAAAAGUAAUCGGUGGGCCGCUCCGGUGGCGCAGUGGUUAAGUUCCUAGGUUCUGCUUCUCAGCGGGUUCGUGGCCCCAUCCCGGUGCGCACAUGGCACUGCUUGGCAUAAAGCCAUGCUGUGAUGUUAACAUCUGCAACACCCCCGGCUAACAAGAGUGUGCAAUGAACAUGAAAUGUCCAGCUUUAAGCUCAAACCCCCUCACCGUGAAGGGCAAGUCUGCAGUGUGGACACUGCCCUGUUCGGAUGGUCACUGCUGCACAGAACCAGCCAUGGUCCCAGAGAGCUGGGAAGAUGCUCAUGUUCCUGCUUCUCGCUGGAGACCUGAGGAUUCGCCAGUGAAUCAAUCAGCUAAGGGAACAGAGGACUCCAGUGAAAACUCAGUGACUGGUAAUGGCAGCUCUACCAGCCAGGUUCCAGAGGGGGAGGUCCUGGAGCACAUCCCCCGGCUCACUCGUGAAGGACAUGUGGCCUAGCUCUUCUUGAAUUGUUUUCUACGUCAAAGCAGAACUGGAGGGUCUCGGCCGCACACCCUCUCGUCUCAGGAGGGCAGGAAGGCGACAAAGGUGGGGCAGCCACAUGGAAGAAGAUGCUUAGGAGAGAAGCUGACGUGGGGACGUGGGGUGAGGGAGGUAAAGCCCAAUGAAGCAGUCGCUUGCCCAGUUACACAGCCAUGAUGUGCAGUGGGGAUCAGCCCAGGUCUGUCUGACUCCAGAGGCCAUCACUAAAGUCACAGCCCCUCCGUCUCCACGUCCCACCUCAAACGAACCUCUGCUUUCUUGUCAAAUAUUUUCAAACUUUUUCACCAAGCAGGGUUAUGUGAUAUGCAGCAGAUAAUAGUAUCAGUUUUGUUCUGAACUCCACACUGUCAACCUAUUAAAAUACUCCUAUAAAAACUAAUACUAGGGGGCCAGCCCGGUGGCGUAGUGGUUAAGUUCGAGUGCUCUGCUUCA